UGGGGAAUAUUGGACAAUGGGCGAAAGCCUGAUCCAGCAACGCCGCGUGGGUGAAGAAGGCCUUAGGGUUGUAAAUCCCUUUCGGCGGGGACGAUGAUGACGGUACCCGCAGAAGAAGCCCCGGCUAACUUCGUGCCAGCAGCCGCGGUAAUACGAAGGGGGCAAGCGUUGUUCGGAAUUACUGGGCGUAAAGGGCGUGUAGGCGGACCUGUCAGUCAGGGGUGAAAUCCCGGGGCUCAACCCCGGAAUUGCCUUUGAUACUGCAGGUCUUGAGAUCGGGAGAGGGUCGUGGAAUUCCCAGUGUAGAGGUGAAAUUCGUAGAUAUUGGGAAGAACACCAGUGGCGAAGGCGGCGACCUGGACCGAUUCUGACGCUGAGGCGCGAAAGCGUGGGGAGCAAACAGGAUUAGAUACCCCCGUAGUCC
This 424-nucleotide ribosomal RNA is filed under the name uncultured prokaryote. RNAcentral describes it as "bacterial SSU rRNA". It matches the Rfam family "Bacterial small subunit ribosomal RNA", at positions 355 to 796 of the family's 1533-position model. The record is from RNAcentral.